Molecule: long non-coding RNA, 373 nt
Filed under: Triticum aestivum (bread wheat)
Lineage: Eukaryota; Viridiplantae; Streptophyta; Magnoliopsida; Poales; Poaceae
Description: long non-coding RNA (TAES_LNC001056)
Source: RNAcentral
CUGGGAUCCCGCCAGAGAGGGCUCCCUGCUCGGCUGGAACGAGGCCCGCCGCAACUGGCCCGUCUUCUGGGAGUCCUUCCGGGGCACCCCUCCUCCGAGCCCUCCUCGCCGGGGACGAUGAUCAUAGGCUGUGGUGGUAACUCGGUUAAGCUUAAGUACUCUUGUCUCCCACAAUUUCUUCUUCUUGCUGUACGCCUGUACGUAGCUGUAGAUGUUCUUGUGAGCGUGUGUGUGUAAUACAAUGAGAUUUUGUUGGCCAGUCACUCAUCAGUAAGAGACGGAGCAGCAUAAGUAGAAAUCAUUCAUUACGGCAUAAUCCAAAGCAUAUAAUUACUGUCAAAAUAACUCUAGUCAAAAGGAAGAAACAUCCACU